UACGUAGGUGGCGAGCGUUGUCCGGACUCACUGGGCGUAAAGGGCGCGCAGGCGGUAGCGUGCGUCGGUGCUGAAAGCGCCCCGCUUAACGGGGCGAGGCGUGCCGAUACGACGCGACUGGAGGCAGGCAGAGGGUGGCGGAAUUCCGGGUGUAGUGGUGAAAUGCGUAGAGAUCCGGAGGAACGCCGGUGGCGCAAGCGGCCACCUGGGCGUGACCUGACGCUGAGGCGCGAAAGCGUGGGGAGCGAACCGG
RNAcentral lists this ribosomal RNA (253 nucleotides) under uncultured bacterium. RNAcentral describes it as "partial 16S ribosomal RNA". It matches the Rfam family "Bacterial small subunit ribosomal RNA", at positions 524 to 776 of the family's 1533-position model. The record is from RNAcentral.